This 2126-nucleotide ribosomal RNA is filed under the name Pleurostomum sp. WVII 10/2 320. Its description in RNAcentral is "bacterial SSU rRNA". It matches the Rfam family "Eukaryotic small subunit ribosomal RNA". Lineage: Eukaryota; Heterolobosea; Eutetramitea; Acrasida; Tulamoebidae. The record is from RNAcentral.
UUCAAGGAUUAAGCCAUGCAAAUCUAAGAUCAGGCUAACUUAUUUCUAUAAGAAUAGCCAAUCUGUGGACUGCUCAUUAAAAUUGUUGUAAUCCUAGCCGCCGGAGAUCAUAUAAAAGGAUAACACUGUUAAAUGCAGCGAUAAUACUUGAGGCUUUAAUGUCUGGCAAUCAUCUAAUGUUAAUAACAUGAACAUUUGAAAUGAGAUGAUUGUAAGGUACAAUUAUCCCUCGUGGAUAUUGUAUAAGCCAACCAUUGAAAAAAGUUGAAUUGUUUAAAAUCAAAACAAAUUCCGGUGGUCCGGUAGAGGAGCUUCAAAUCUAUCAGCUUAAGUUGCCUGUGUAAAGAACAGGCAAGGCUAUAACGGAUAAGGGGAAUUAGUGUUUGAACCUGAGAGGGAGCCUGAGAAACUGCUACCACAUCUAAGGACGGCAGCAGGCGCGCAAAUUGCCCAAUAUCAACCAAGAUGAGGUAGUGACGAGUCUUAGUGACUUCACACUUUAAAAGUGGGAAGGUACUGUUUUUCAAAUAUAAAUUGAAUGACAGUUUAUCAUGAUCUGGGUUUAAAAUACCUGGAGAGCAGCAAUUGGAGCACCAGUCUGAUGCCAGCACGCGCGGUAACAUCAGCUCCAAUAGCGUAUAUUAAUACUGUUGCGGUUAAAAGAUCCGUAGUCGAUCAAAGGGUGAUUGAAUUAAAUUUGAUAUGAUUUGUUUUUUAUUCUAAUUUUUUUAUUUAUAUACUUUAAUGUAAUAAAUAAAAAUUUUGGAAUUUAAAACCUAAUCUUAUUAAAGAUUAGUGCCAAUUGGUUUCAUUAAAAUAUGAGGUCAAUUGGUAAUCAUAUCACAAUCAACCCGAUCCUUAUUCAAAAUACUCAAUAGUGUUUUGAAUAAGGCCUCCAUAAAAAAGGAGGAGCAACCAUGAAUAAAUCGUUGUGCUUCAAGCAGGCUAUGCAAAAAUAUAGCUUGAACGAUCAAGCAUGGGAUUGCAAAAGGAACCGUAUUGGAUAAGUCAUUAUAUUUGAUUCUUAAAAAAGAACAAAUAUAAAAAGACACAAUAUGGUGUUUAGAAAGGGGUAUCGGGAGAGGUUCCAAUUAUCUCAAAGUUAGGGGUGAAAUCCAUUGAUCUUUGAGAGAAUGACAAAGGCGAAGGCAGUUGAAAACCACCACAAACCCGUCGAUGAGGGAUUAAAGUUAGGGGAUCGAAGAUGAUUAGAUACCGUCGUAGUCCUAACUGUAAAAAUUGUCAAUCAAAAAUGAGAUACUUAUUAAUAUCGAAUUAUAAAGUAUUUUGUUUUUAGGAGAAAUCUGGAAUUUAUAGAUUCCGGGGGGAGUAUAGUCGCAAGGCCGAAACUUAAAGGAAUUGACGGAAAGGCACCACCAGAAGUGGGUUUUGCGGUUCAAUUCGACUCAACACGAGAAAACUUACCAGGGCAAGACAGGUAGAUGAUUGACAGGUUGAUAGCCCUUUCUUGAUUACCUGGAAGGUGGUGCAUGGCCGUUUGCAGUUCGUGGAGUGAUCUGUCUGGUUAAUUCCGAUAACGAACGAGACCCAAACCUCUAACUAGUUGAUUCUUAUUUCAUCGUUUCAUUAAAAUUUCUUCAUUUAUGAGGAAAUAGAAACUGUAUGAAAUGAAUCAAAAAAUUAAACUUCUUAGAGGGACAACGUUUGCAAUUUGAAAACGAGGAAGAUUUGGACUAUAACAGGUCUGUGAUGCUCUUAGAUGUUCUGGGCGACACGCGUAACACAAUAUUGAUAUCAAUGAGUUAUUUAUAUUUCAUCUUAUUAAAGAUGAAUUCCUUUUCCUAUUAAAUUUAUAAGAGGAAUGGGUAAACUAAAGAAAUAUCAAUAUGACUGGGAUAGAAGCUUGUAAGUAGUUUCUUAAACGAGGAAUUUCUAGUAAGCGUAAUUCAACAAAUUGCACUGAUUACGUCCCUGCCUUUUGUACACACCGCCCGUCGCUCCUACCAAUUGAAUGAAGAGAUGAAUUUGACGGACCUUGGUAUUAAGUUGUAAAACUUAAUUACAUUCUCAUCUUUUUAAAGAUGGGAAUACCGGGGAAAUCAAAUGAAUCCCUUUAUUCGUAGGAAGGAAAAGUCGUAACAAGGUAUUCGUAGGUGAACCUGCAA